GCAUAUCAAUAAGCGGAGGAAAAGAAACCAACAGGGAUUCCCCUAGUAACGGCGAAGUGAAGCGGGAACAGCUCAAAUUUGAAAUCUGGCCCUCGGGUCCGAGUUGUAAUUUGUAGAGGAUGCUUUUGGUGCGGUGCCUUCCGAGUUCCCUGGAACGGGACGCCUUAGAGGGUGAGAGCCCCGUACGGUUGGACGCCUAGCCUCUGUAAAGCUCCUUCGACGAGUCGAGUAGUUUGGGAAUGCUGCUCUAAAUGGGAGGUAUAUUUCUUCUAAAGCUAAAUACUGGCCAGAGACCGAUAGCGCACAAGUAGAGUGAUCGAAAGAUGAAAAGCACUUUGAAAAGAGGGUUAAAUAGCACGUGAAAUUGUUGAAAGGGAAGCGUUUAUCACCAGACUUUUUCUAGGGGGAUCAUCCGGCGUUCUCGCCGGUGCACUUCCCCUAGUUGAGGCCAGCAUCGGUUUUCGGAGGGGGAUAAAAGCUUCGGGAAUGUGACUCCCUCGGGAGUGUUAUAGCCCGUUGCAUAAUACCCUUCUGGGGACCGAGGUUCGCGCAUCUGCAAGGAUGCUGGCAUAAUGGUGAUCAACGACCCGUCUUGAAACACGGACCAAGGAGUCGAACAUUUAUGCGAGUGUUUGGGUGUCAAACCCUCACGCGUAAUGAAAGUGAACGGAGGUGAGAGCCCGUACGGGUGCAUCAUCGACCGAUCCUGAUGUCUUCGGAUGGAUUUGAGUAAGAGCAUAACUGUUCGGACCCGAAAGAUGGUGAACUAUGCGUGGAUAGGGUGAAGCCAGGAGAAAUCCUGGUGGAGGCUCGCAGCGGUUCUGACGUGCAAAUCGAUCGUCAAAUUCUGCGCAUGGGGGGCGAAAGACUAAUCGAACCAUCUAGUAGCUGGUUACCGCCGAA
This 903-nucleotide ribosomal RNA is filed under the name Nigrospora sacchari. RNAcentral describes it as "LSU rRNA". It matches the Rfam family "Eukaryotic large subunit ribosomal RNA", at positions 38 to 965 of the family's 3401-position model. The record is from RNAcentral. Lineage: Eukaryota; Fungi; Ascomycota; Sordariomycetes; Amphisphaeriales; Apiosporaceae.